GGCCCCGUAGCUCAGUUGGAUAGAGCGCGCCCCUCCUAAGGGCGAGGUCGUACGUUCGAAUCGUAUCGGGGCCGCCA
RNAcentral lists this transfer RNA (77 nucleotides) under Pseudomonadota bacterium. Its description in RNAcentral is "tRNA-Arg". It matches the Rfam family "tRNA". From Rfam's summary of the family: Transfer RNA (tRNA) molecules are approximately 80 nucleotides in length. Their secondary structure includes four short double-helical elements and three loops (D, anti-codon, and T loops). Lineage: Bacteria; Pseudomonadati; Pseudomonadota. RNAcentral also lists the same sequence under 1 other name. The record is from RNAcentral.